CUAAAAGCAACAGAUUUAUGUGAAGAUCUGGGUCUCAAUCUCCAACCACCGCGAAAUCUGAGCCCUUUAAAUUUUUAUGUGUGAAACUGCGUGCCUUUAUUUCUUUUGCAAAAUAUCUGAUACAAACUCUAGAAUCUCGGUAGCUUUCUGAAGGACUACUCUCUUAAUAGAUCCAUUCAUCUUCUCAGCAAUUUUAGGUAAACCCUCAAUUUUUGAUUUUAUCUUCUUCUACUUCUUUUCAAAUUUUGUCGAUUUCAUGCUGCAAAUUAUUGUUGUUAUUAUUCAUUUUAACUUUCUCUUCUAUGUGCUUGUUCAUUCCAUAAUCUAAAGAGAAGAGAAUCAGUGAAAGUAUUAUAUCUUAUGGUCAAAAUAAAGUACCCUGGAAUUAAGGUCUGCCCUUAACUUAAGUUAUGCAGCUAUCUUUUAUUCUCACUCUAGGAGCACAUGUUUUCCAUUAGAAGACUAAUUUAACGAUAAAAUUGAACACAGAUUUUUCAAUGAACGAUCGCUUUAUGCUUUACUCUUCGGUCUUUGAAUUGAAUUUGUGACCAAAGGAAUGUUCUUUUUUUAGAAUGCCUAUUUAAACAAAUGGAUUCAUAAGUGAUGAUACAUGGCAUUGCUGAAUUUCUUUUUAUCCAUUUUGUUGGAAUAUGAUGGUCACACAUUUCUGAAUGCCUGAACAGGUUCGCCAAAGUAAAAAUUGCUAAAGGGGGGAAAUGAACACUUUUUUCUCUGUAACAUGUAAUUUUCUCCCUUUGUUUCUAUUUUCUUUAACAAAAAUUGGUUACUACAACCAACAUAUCAACAACAACAACAACAACAACCCAGUAUAAUUCCACUAGUGGGUCUGGGGAGGGUAGUGUGUACGCAGACCUUACCCCUACCAUGAGGUAGAGAGGCUGUUUCCAAUAGACCCUCGGCAUCCUUCCCUCCAAGAACUCCCCACCUUGUUCUUGGGUGACUCGAACUCACAACCUCUUGGUUGAAAGUAGAGGUUGCUUGCCAUCAGAGCAACCGUCUAACUUAACUAGAACAAAAAAAUUAGAAAAAAUAAUCUUUGCUCACUGCAGCCAAAUGUAAAAGCUUUUAAGACCUUAGCUUUAACUUUUUCGUACUCUUAUAUAGUAUUCUCCUAUUGUUGUUUCUUUAGGUUUCAACCUCUGAAAUUGUGGAUACAUACAUCAGCAACCUAUGUAUAUGACGCAAGUUAUCCCUGUUAUGUUCUAUUUCUGAUAUGCUCUCAAACUCUCAAACAUCAUUGAGUAUGAACACAAGUACUAUAUACAUCAUAUGACACCACAAUUGACAACUAAUACUUUAUCUAUAAGCUACGGAUUCACUUUCACCACAACAUUCCAGUAAAAUUACAUUUUCCGAUCUACGAAAGAUAACAAAAUUAAUUUCUUUUAAGGUAAGAUACCCAAAAUGAUCGUCAUUUACUAUUUUUAACCUUGUUGCUGAAAGAUAACAGAACAAAUAGGAAACAGUUCUUUGCGCCUAUCGAGAAAAUACCUUGCUUACUACUAGCCUUACUUUUGAGUGUAAACAUGACGCAGAAAGGCUUUUUCUGAACUUCCACAUUUGGUAAAGAUAGUUAGAAUCUUUAAAUAUAAUGUUAAUUAUUGUGCUAUGAUCUUAAUAGAAACUUCUGUCCUCUGUCUGAGAACUAUACAGAAAUGAAUUUCAGAAUUCAAAAUCGAGAUAGCUUUUUCCUUUUAAUCUUACUUAUGCAUUAUACUGGAUUCAAGUCUUGGAAUUGUUUUCUUCAAAAGAUGAACUAAUAUCCUUUCUUUGUUUCACUUUCAAAACUGAUCAAACGGAUAGGCCUAGGAAGCUAAAUAAACCAAAAAAAUAAUCAGGAUAGGAAAAGUAGUACAUUAUGUGACAAUUAGUGGUUUCUAAAAAUGUGUUUGUUUAAGUUUCCUCAAGAAAUUUUUGCAAAAAGUUUUUAUUUUUUAAAGCUAUUUGUUGAAGAAGUGGUUUAAGUGUGUUUUUCUAAGAAGUGACAUUCUUUCACUCCCAAAACAUUUGGAAAUUCUCAGAGUUCUCCUCCACUUACAAAAUACUCACAAAUUAUCCUGGUUUUCUUUUUCUGCUGAUACACGAGCUAAUUAUAUGUGGCGCUUAAGUAUUGUGUCACAUAUUUUACGUUUAUUUUUUUCAGCAGCAACCAACAGUUAAUUUAACAAACAAGAAGAAGAAAGUUAGGCAAACAAAAUUAUAUUAUUCAGACGCCAAGAACAAACACAGGGUUUGAACAGAAGUAGGAAACUCAACUUGCUUAUAUAAAGAGGAACACAGAAACACAGUUCUGAUCCUUUAUUUAAAAAUAAAAAUAAAACGAUCACCGAGAUGAAAAAAGCACUCAAUGGUUUAGAUUUCAAUGGAGUCCACCAGUAAAGCGAUGAUGUGAGGUUUUAGAACCUUUUCUGGAUGAGUGUAUCCAUCUUGAUUGUGCUUGUAAGUGACAUCUAUAAUACGAGCGAGAUUGAGAAUACGAGUGAGAAUUUCUGUAGAAACAGGAGUUGGUCGAAGAAUUCCUUCAUUCACAUCCUUCCAUGCUAUCUCAGCCAUUUCUUGGAAUUUUUCCAUUGCUACUUCUGUUGAUACGCCAUAAUCCCUCAUAUAACACUCAAUUCCUGUUGCAAUUUGGCCCCUACCCUUCUCAACCUAAAAUAGCAAUUACAAUUAUAUAUAUUUUUAACCGCAACAAUCAUAUAAGAUGCUUUAAUUUAAUGUAAUGCGAUCGAUGUGUACCUCAUAUGUGGCAAUGUCAUCUACAACUCGACAUAAUGUUACAUUGGCUUCCAAAAUUUUAGGGUUGGUAGCCAACCACUCAAAAUCUUCCCUGGCAGCUGAUUUCAUUCCCAAGUAGGAUGUUGUAGUUAGCAAGUAAUAUGUGCUAGUAGCUAAUGCAUUGUUAAGAUACUCAGAAACAGGUGGCAUAUAUCCCUCAAUGAACCACUUUGCUUCGACAAAAUAAUUUCUCACAAUUUCCUUCAUCUAUUUAACACAAACAAAAAUUAAUCAAUAUAAUAUUCCAACAAUAAAUCUGAUUAUAAAGAAAAAUAAGAUAGAUAUAAAACGUUAUAUAUAAAUCAGUGAGUCAUACUCUUUCUUUCGCAUAGUGGACAACAUAGGAUCUGCCAUCCGUUGACAAUUCCUUUUCAUAAUCUUCAUAAAGGUCUAUAAGAGCCUUAAAACUGAUUUUCAUGUAGUCUGGGAGUCGAUCAAUUUGACUAAUAUCCCACCUAAUACAUAAAAAAAUUUAACAUAUAGUAAGUUUCCCAUUUAAGAAACCAUCUAAUAAAUUCAUAAAUUGUGGAAACACGAGUUUAUACCUCUGUAUGGCAUCAGUGUAGACCUCAAGUUCUUUUACAAUGCCAUAAGCAUCGAAUGUGUCAUCUACUAUCGAAAUCAUUGCUAUAGUCUUAGCAAGCAUGACACGAGCCUGAGAAUAUUGAGGUUCAGCAUACACCCCCAUCGUCCAAAAGUAGCAUUCAACAGCUCUAUCCCUAGCAUAUGGAAGUGUUGUCACAAAAUCCAAAUCUUUCCACCACCUACAAAAUAACCUUAGAAUAUGAGAAAUUAUUAUGAACAAAUAAUUUAUAUGUUUUUUUACGUAAAACAUAUCAUUGUACCUUGAUACUUGGCUGAGUUCUUGUUUAUGCAAAAUCUGAAGUAAGUUGUAAUCUAAUUUAGCAAAUCGAAGUAGCACAUCAUUUUUCAGUUCCUCCUCUUCGUAGAUAGAGAUGAAGUAACGCGUCUCCACUCUUGGAAUGCUUUUAUGCAGAGAUUGCUCAAGAGCAUGCAUCACUUGCUUACUCAGAGGUGACUUCAAAUGUGGAGUUGCAGAUUCAAGAUGAGCAGUGGCAAAAGCAAGUGCCUCUUCCAAAAUAUCCUCUCCAUGAAUCCUUACAUGUGAAGCUUCGUAUAAGCUCAAUAGACCCUUUGCAUCAUUACUAAGACUAAGAGACUCCUUGAAUUUUCCGUUUGCGUCUUGGAAUCUGCUGAAAAUUUCUGGAUCAUGAAUAAAAACAAAAGAUUAGUUUUCAUGCAGCAAAAGUUGAAAAAUUGGUGUAAGAAUAUAUAAUGGACCUACUUGGGGAGAUAUUGUAACCAUGUUGUCUCAACAUUCGAAAUUGAAGGGCACAAGUGUACAAAUCAUUGUACUCAUGACCUUCAAAGUUUGGAUCUUCUUUAUAAAUCUCAUCCAACAUGUCUUCUAUUUGUUUCUCAAAAUGAUAAGCUAAGCCAAGGCGCUCAACAGUGUCUAUCAGAUUCAGCUUUUCAGCCAAUGAUCUUUCACAAGCUGCUCCCAACAUACUCCUUGUUUCCUCCUUCAAUGUUUCAAUCUCUUGACCAUAUUUUUCUGCCACCUGUGAAUGUAUUUAUUAAGUUCAUGUAACGUCAACUUAAAAAGACUAUGCAUAAUAUAUAAAUACCUGAUUGUCAACAGAGAAUGAAUGGAAACUGUCACCCCAAAGACUUGGAGAGAAA
This 4500-nucleotide long non-coding RNA is filed under the name Nicotiana tabacum (common tobacco). RNAcentral's name for it is "long non-coding RNA (NTAB_LNC006927)". Lineage: Eukaryota; Viridiplantae; Streptophyta; Magnoliopsida; Solanales; Solanaceae. The record is from RNAcentral.